AACUCGGCAAAAUGACCCCGUAACUUAGGGAUAAGGGGUGCCACCAUCAGGUGGCCGCAGAGAAUAGGCCCAAGCGACUGUUUACCAAAAACAUAGGUUUCUGCUAAGUCGCAAGACGAUGUAUAGGAGCUGACGCCUGCCCGGUGCUGGAAGGUUAAGGGGAUCUGUUAGAGCAAUCGAAGCAGUGAACUUAAGCCCCAGUAAACGGCGGCCGUAACUAUAACGGUCCUAAGGUAGCGAAAUUCCUUGUCGGGUAAGUUCCGACCCGCACGAAAGGCGUAACGAUUUGGGCACUGUCUCAACAACAGACUCGGUGAAAUUGUAAUUCCGGUGAAGAUGCCGGAUACCUGCGACAGGACGGAAAGACCCCAUGGAGCUUUACUGUAGCUUGACAUUGGGUCUUGGUACUACAUGUACAGGAUAGGUGGGAGGCUUUGAAACCAGGACGCCAGUUUUGGCGGAGCCAUCCUUGGGAUACCACCCUUGUAGUACUGGGACUCUAACCAUAGGCCAUGAAUCUGGUCUUGGGACACUGUCAGGUGGGCAGUUUGACUGGGGCGGUCGCCUCCCAAAAGGUAACGGAGG
RNAcentral lists this ribosomal RNA (585 nucleotides) under Clostridioides difficile. Its description in RNAcentral is "partial 23S ribosomal RNA". It matches the Rfam family "Bacterial large subunit ribosomal RNA", at positions 1711 to 2306 of the family's 2925-position model. The record is from RNAcentral. Lineage: Bacteria; Bacillati; Bacillota; Clostridia; Peptostreptococcales; Peptostreptococcaceae.